RNAcentral lists this ribosomal RNA (890 nucleotides) under Pseudolagarobasidium acaciicola. Its description in RNAcentral is "LSU rRNA". It matches the Rfam family "Eukaryotic large subunit ribosomal RNA", at positions 72 to 943 of the family's 3401-position model. The record is from RNAcentral. Lineage: Eukaryota; Fungi; Basidiomycota; Agaricomycetes; Polyporales; Cerrenaceae.
GGAUUGCCCCUAGUAACUGCGAGUGAAGCGGGAAAAGCUCAAAUUUAUAAUCUGAUAGUCUUUGGCUGUGCCGAGUGGUAGUCUGGAGAAGCGUUUUCUGUGCUGGACCGUGUAUAAGUGCCUUGGAAUAGGGCGUCAUAGAGGGUGAGAAUCCCGUCUUUGACACGGACUACCAGUGCUUUGUGAUGCGCUCUCAAAGAGUCGAGUUGUUUGGGAAUGCAGCUCAACAUGGGUGGUAAAUUCCAUCUAAAGCUAAAUAUUGGCGAGAGACCGAUAGCGAACAAGUACCGUGAGGGAAAGAUGAAAAGCACUUUGGAAAGAGAGUUAAACAGUACGUGAAAUUGCUGAAAGGGAAACGCUUGAAGUCAGUCGCGUUGUGCAGAACUCAGCCUGGCUUUUGCUUGGUGUAUUUUCUGUAUAACGGGCCAGCAUCAAUUUUGGCCGCUGGAAAAAGGCUUUAGAAAUGUGGCACCUUCGGGUGUGUUAUAGUCUAGAGUCAUAUACAGCGGCUGGGAUUGAGGUCUGCAGCACGCCUUUAUGGCUGGGGUUCGCCCACAUUCGUGCUUAGGAUGCUGGCGUAAUGGCUUUAAACGACCCGUCUUGAAACACGGACCAAGGAGUCUAACAUGCAUGCGAGUGUUUGGGUGGAAAACCCGAGCGCGUAAUGAAAGUGAAUAGUUGAGAUGCCCUGUCGUGGGGAGCAUCGACGCCCGGACCAGACUUUUUGUGACGGAUCUGCGGUAGAGCAUGUAUGUUGGGACCCGAAAGAUGGUGAACUAAUGCCUGAAUAGGGUGAAGCCAGAGGAAACUCUGGUGGAGGCUCGUAGCGAUUCUGACGUGCAAAUCGAUCGUCAAAUUUGGGUAUAGGGGCGAAAGACUAAUCGAACCAU